Molecule: RNA transcript, 4718 nt
Organism: Siniperca chuatsi (mandarin fish)
Lineage: Eukaryota; Metazoa; Chordata; Actinopteri; Centrarchiformes; Sinipercidae
Gene: trappc12
Gene name: trafficking protein particle complex subunit 12
Exons: 13
Source: RefSeq, a predicted model, not a curated record
AACGUUGUAUGGGCUGUUUAAACUACGUAGAAUACGUCAGGAAUACCAAUAACCACGGCGGUAUGAGAUGUGUCCGCUCUGGAAUACCGUACGUGUAGUUGAACUACGCAUGCGCACAGAGUUCUGUCAGUCUCUAGUAAGUAAGAUGGAUAGUGGGGAGGCUCCUGCUCAGCGGCCAGUCACCUUGGACAUCACAGUGGAAGAUGUAGCCAAGGAAGCCCCAGACCCAGAACCUCCGGAGCAAACCAACAGCCAGACCCCUUCCAGAGACAACGUCGUUCCCCAGGAAGACAGCAUCGACCUGGGCGGGGAGUUUGCCACCCCCCAGGAGGACAGCAGCGCUACACUUUCAGAGAGUCUGAUGGACAAGCUCAACGACCAGAUGAUGGAGAGCGUCAUGAUUUCUGACUCACCUAAUAACAGUGAGGAGGACGAUGUAGCUCCCAUUGACUCCUUUCUGGAUGGAGGAGAGCAGGAGGAGAAUGCACAAGAGACUUCAGGUGACAAAGAACAAAGUGAAAUUGGACAGAAUACAACUGAGAUUAAAGUUUCAGUGGAGGAACAGGAGAAAGGUGGUUCUGAGGAGAAAGCAGAAGAGGACACAAAGAAGCAAACAGACACGCAAGAGCAAGUCACAGCCUGUGUUUCACCUCAAGGUGACAUACAGAGCCCAUCUGAUCUUAAACGUGAGGAGCCAGCACCACAAGAAGUUAAAGGGACGAGCCCAAAAGACGAGCUUGUGCCGGUGUGCACCAUAUUCAGCCAGGGAACCGAGCCGAAGUCUCUGGUGCCUGACGGCUUCCAGCCCACCCUCAUCAAGUCCCCCAGCUUUAGUAUGGGGAGUGGUGGGGGAAGCGCUGAGGCGUUGACCCCCAGCAAGUUGACAGCCCCCUUCGUGUGCCAGCCCAGCCCCAGCCUUAGUAAGUUCUUCACUGACAAUGGACAAGCCAAUCCAGCCUCCGACUUCUUUGAUUCCUUUACCGUCCCCUCCUCCUUCAUCUCCGUUUCAAACCCAAAUGCUGAGAUCCCUCCUGGCCCCAGCCCAGCGCCCACAGCCCCCACCCCUGAACGCCAGCUCUCUUCCACCUCCUCCUCCAUCUCCACCCCCGGAGGACCUCUGGACUCUGGUGCUCCCACACCUAGCUCAGUGUUUGGCCCUGUCCCUACCGAAUCCACCGCCAAGCCCCAACAUCCUCCACCCCAAGCAGUUCCAGCUCCAACUCAAGCCCCCACCCCAGCCACUCAGCCGCAGCCCUUCAACCAGCUCCAGGCUGUGUUCUUGGGUAGCGAUGACCCGUUUGCGACAGCGCUGAGCCUGAGUGAGGUGGACAGACGUCAUGAUGCCUGGCUGCCAUCUGAGGAGACCAGGAAGGUGUUGAUCUCUGUGGCCACCCAGCAGUACAGUCCAGCAUAUGUAGAGACCAACAGACUCACCAUGCCUGGACUCAAGUUUGACAACCUGCAGGGCGAUGCUGUAAAAGACCUAAUGCUUCGUUUCCUGGGAGAACAGGCAGCAAUGAAGCGCCAGGUCCUCACCGCCAACUCUGUGGAACAGUCCUUCACAGGCCUCAAACAGCUCAUCAGCAGUAAGAACUGGCGGGCUGCGGUGGAUCUGACGGGCCGGCUACUGACUGUUCAUGGUCAGGGAUAUGGAAAAGCUGGCCAGCCAACCUCCCACACCACCGACUCAUUGCAGCUCUGGUUUGUGCGGCUGGCACUCCUAACCAAGCUGAACCUCUUCCAAAACGCUGAGCUGGAGUUUGAGCCUUUUGGCAACCUGGAUCAACCAGACCUCUACUAUGAGUACUACCCCACUGUUUACCCUGGGAGGAGAGGCUCCAUGGUGCCGUUCUCCAUGAGGCUGCUGCAUGCCGAGCUUCCCCAGUACCUGGCCAAGCCCCAGGAGGCUCUGGACCGCCUGCACAAUCUCAAAACUGUCUGCCUCGCUAUUCUGGAGAACUUGGAGAAAGGCUUGGCUGAGGAUGGCAGCAUGAUCACCCUAACACAGGAGAACAGGCAAGUGUCUCUUAAGCUGUGGAGGUCUCGCCUCAGCCGGGUCAUGUACUCCAUGGCCAACUGUCUGCUGCUGAUGAAGGACUAUGUUCUGGCUGUGGAGACCUAUCACUCCAUCAUCCAUUAUGAACCCCAGCAGAAAGUACAGCUACUCAGUGGCAUAGGACGCAUCUUCUUGCAGAUCGGAGACAUCAAAACAGCAGAGAGGUACUUCGAGGAUGUGGAGAAAGCCUGCCAGAUGAAUGGGAGCCAGCCCAGUCACACCACAUGCGUGCUGAUGAACAGGGCCUUUGUCCACCUCAGUCAGAACAACUACUCUGAAGCACACGCAUCCUUCAUCGAAGUCUUGAAAAUUGACCCAAAAAACCCUGUUAGAUACAUUCAUCAACAUCGGAAAAGGAAGUGCAGGGACUGGAUAUUAAGUGCAGCGGACCUUGAGACAAUCACUUCUCACGGCAUCUCCCAUCCAGACAACCAGACCAGCCGGACCAAACGUCAACGCAAGCGGUAGAAGGAAGAGAGGGAAGAGAGCCGGGAUAAGAGCUAAGAGAACCCUGGUCGGACCUAAGGCUAUUCCACUACCCAGCCUACUCCUGGCUAAUGUCCGGUCGCAGGAAAAUAUAAUGGAUGAAAUAAGACUCAGGCUAAUUUAGCAACAGGAAAUCAGAGACUACUGUGCCCUCAUCUUUACUGAGACCUGGCUACACCACAACAUCCCAAAUCAAGCUACUGCACUCGAUGGGCGAGCGUGUUCCGCGCUGACAGAACACAAGACUCCAGUGAGACAAGAAGAGGCGGACUAUGUGUUUACAUCAAUGAUGCUUGGUGCUCAAACGCAGUCAAAGUGGAUGGACAAUGUUUGCCAGAUAUGGAAUUUCUAUUGUUAAGAUGUCGACCAUACUAUCUGCCCAGAGAAUUCACCAGUUUUUGUUGCUGCUGUUUACAUUCCUCCAGAUGCUAAUUAAAGAAAUGCACUACAGGAACUUUAUCAGGUCAUCAGCAGUCACAUAACAAAACAACCAAAUUGUGUUGUAGCUGGUGAUUUUAAUCAAACAGACCUCAGAACUGCCUAAAUUUCACCAACAUGUCCACACCUUCACCAGGGGAACAAAUGUUUGUGUAAACUGGACCAUGUUUACACAAACAUUCCUGGCAGCUACAAAGCCCUCCCUCGCCCCAAUUUUGGUCUAUCAGACCACAUUUCCCGGCUUCUCCUGCCGACUUUACACCCAGCUGAUAAAAAGGGUCAAACCAUCAAUAAAACAACAGUUAAAAGUGUGGACAGAUGAAGCUACAGCAGCUCUAUAGGACUGUUUUGAGCACACAGACUGGCACAUGUUCAGAGAGGCCACCACCCAGGAGAACCACAUCAGUCUUGAGGAAUAUACAGCAUCAGUGACAUCAUACAUCAGCAAAUGUGUUGAUGAUGUGAUCACAAAGACAAUAAAAUCAUUCCCCAACCAGAAAGCCUGGAUGAAUGGCGAGGUGAGGGUCUAUCCAGAGCCAAAAAAGCUGGCUUUCAGUCAGGUGACAAGGAAGCAUACAACUUCGCCAGAGCAAGACUGAAAGUUGGCAUCAAGGAGGCAAAGUGGAGACAUCAGGAGAGACUGGAGAGAGACCUCAACACCAAUAAUACUAAAGAUGUGGCAGGCAGUCAAAAACAUCACAGGCUACAAAAGCAGGAGCACCCUCAUCAUGUGUGAGGCCACUUUUACCAGAUGAGCUAAACACAUUUUAUGCUUGUUUUGAUCUCUUAAAUAAAGAGUCAGUUGUAAAGUCUAUUCCACCUCCAGUGGACCGGCCACUGUCAGUAUCCACAGCAGAUGUGAGAAAAUCCCUGCUGAGAGUGAAUAUGAGUAAAGCUGCUGGGCCUGCUAACAUCCCUGGCCGUGUACUAAGAACAUGUGCGAACCAGCUAGUUGAUGUUAUUACUGACUAAGAUAUGUACACUGUCACAGGAGAUUGUUCCCACCUGCUUCAAGAUAGCCACCAUCGUCCCUGUACCUAAAAAAUCUAAUCUAAACGACCACCCUGUGGCACUCACUCCUUUGAGUGUUCUCCAGCACAUAAAGAACAACAUUCCAACCAGCCUGGACCUUUACAGUUUGCUUUCAGAACCAACAGAUCCACAGAGGAUGCCAUCUCCACUGCCUUCCAUUCAGUCUUCACACACCUUGAGAAAAACAACACAUCAGAAUGCUGUUUGUUGAUUUCAGCUCAGCAUUCAGCACAAUCUCCCCUGUGAAACUGGGGAAAACUUAGCACUCUGGGCUUGAGUACCACAUUCUGCAACUGGAUAUUGGACUUCCUCACAAACAGACCCCAGACAGUUCGGACUGGCGGUCACACCUCUUCCAUUCUAGUGCCCCUCAGGGCUGUGUGUUCAGCCCCCUCCUUCACGCUGUACACCCAUAACUGCAGCCCCCCGACAUGGAGACAACUUUGUUGUAAAGUUUGCGGAUGACACCACCAUCAUCGGCCGGAUUUCAAACAACGAUAAGACAUCAUGUUGGGAGGAAAUCAACAUUUUUGCAGAGUGGUGCACAGAGAACAACUCACUGCUCAACAGGCCAACAACAACGCAGCAGUGUGCCUGCUCUAUCUAGGCCGUCUGAAGGAGUCCCUGGGCCAGCUGGAGGGCCUGGUGCAACAGGACCCUGCACUCUACCUCCACGAGAGCGUCCUCUUCAACCUGACCACUAUGU